CCCUUAGAUGUUCUGGGCCGCACGCGCGCCACACUGAUGAAUUCAACGAGCACUAACCUGUGCCGAAAGGUUCGGGUAAUCUUGUGAAAUUUCAUCGUGAUGGGGAUUGAUUAUUGCAAUUUUUAAUCAUAAACGAGGAAUGCCUAGUAAGCGUGAGUCAUCAGCUCACGUUGAUUACGUCCCUGCCCUUUGUACACACCGCCCGUCGCUCCUACCGAUUGAAUGUGCCAGUGAAAAGUUCGGAUUGGAGAUAGGAGACGGCAACGUAUCCUAUUUCCGAGAAAAUCUUUAAACUUUCCCAUUUAGAGGAAGGAGAAGUCGUAACA
RNAcentral lists this ribosomal RNA (326 nucleotides) under uncultured eukaryote. RNAcentral describes it as "partial 18S ribosomal RNA". It matches the Rfam family "Eukaryotic small subunit ribosomal RNA", at positions 1470 to 1796 of the family's 1831-position model. The record is from RNAcentral.